RNAcentral lists this transfer RNA (110 nucleotides) under Aspergillus sclerotiicarbonarius CBS 121057. Its description in RNAcentral is "Aspergillus sclerotiicarbonarius (strain CBS 121057 / IBT 28362) tRNA". It matches the Rfam family "tRNA". Rfam says of the family: Transfer RNA (tRNA) molecules are approximately 80 nucleotides in length. Their secondary structure includes four short double-helical elements and three loops (D, anti-codon, and T loops). The record is from Rfam by way of RNAcentral. Lineage: Eukaryota; Fungi; Ascomycota; Eurotiomycetes; Eurotiales; Aspergillaceae.
GACACUUUGGCCGAGUGGUUUAAGGCGCAGGCCUGCUACUUGCUUGUUCCAAGUAACUAGUAGAUUAGCCUGUGGGUUCGCCCGCCUGGGUUCGAGUCCCAGAGGUGUCG